GGUAAGUCGGGACCUAAGGCGAGGCCGAAAGGCGUAGUCGAUGGACAACAGGUAGAAAUUCCUGUACUACAAGAUUGUGAUUGAGAGAAGUACUGACGCAGAAGGAAAAGUCGAGCGUGUGAAUGGUAGAACACGUCCAAGUAACAAGCCAGAAUAUACAGGCAAAUCCGUAUAUUCGCUAACGUAAGUUAUCAUGGGGAGCAGAAAGAUGCGAAGCGACAGAUUCAAACUGCCAAGAAAAGGUGCUAUCGAAUAAUCUUGUACCCGUACCGCAAACCGACACAGGUAGGCAAGAAGAGAAUUCUAAGACGCGCGGAAGAACCUUUGUUAAGGAACUCGGCAAAAUAAUCCCGUAAGUUAGCGAGAAGGGAUGCCUAAGAAAUUAGGUCGCAGAGAAUAGGCCCAAGCGACUGUUUACCAAAAACACAAGUAUCUGCUAAAUCGAAAGAUGAAGUAUAGGUGCUGACACCUGCCCGGUGCUGGAAGGUCAAGGGGACUUGUUAGAGCAAUCGAAGCAACGAACUUAAGCCCCAGUAAACGGCGGCCGUAACUAUAACGGUCCUAAGGUAGCGAAAUUCCUUGUCGGGUAAGUUCCGACCCGCACGAAAGGUGUAACGAUUUGGGCACUGUCUCAACAAAGGAUCCGGUGAAAUUGUAGUAGUCGUGAAGAUGCGACUUACCCACGGUAGGACGGAAAGACCCCGUGGAGCUUUACUGCAGGUUGACAUUGAAUUUUGGGAUUAAAUGUACAGGAUAGGUGGGAGACGAAGAAGCAAGCUCGCCAGAGUUUGCAGAGUCACUGUUGGGAUACCACCCUUUUAAUUCUAAAGUUCUAACUAGUUACCAUGAAACUGGUAAUAGGACACUGUCAGUCGGGCAGUUUGACUGGGGCGGUCGCCUCCAAAAAAGUAACGGAGGCGUUCAAAGGUUCGCUCAGAAUGGUUGGAAAUCAUUCAAAGAGUACAAAGGCAAAAGCGAGCUUAACUGCGAGACAUACAGGUCGAGCAGAGACGAAAGUCGGACUUAGUGAUCCGGUGGUACCGAGUGGAAGGGCCAUCGCUCAACGGAUAAAAGCUACCCCGGGGAUAACAGGCUUAUCU
RNAcentral lists this ribosomal RNA (1100 nucleotides) under metagenome. Its description in RNAcentral is "bacterial LSU rRNA". It matches the Rfam family "Bacterial large subunit ribosomal RNA", at positions 1378 to 2488 of the family's 2925-position model. The record is from RNAcentral.